CCUACGGGAGGCAGCAGUCGAGAAUCAUUCACAAUGGGGGAAACCCUGAUGGUGCGACGCCGCGUGGGGGAAUGAAGGUCUUCGGAUUGUAAACCCCUGUCAUGUGGGAGCAAGUUAAAAAGAUAGUACCACAAGAGGAAGGGACGGCUAACUCUGUGCCAGCCGCCGCGGUAAUACAGAGGGCUCAAGCGUUUUUCGGAAUCACUGGGCGUAAAGCGUGCGUAGGCUGUUUCGGAAGUAGUUUGUGAAAGGCGCGGGCGCAAAACGCGGACGGCACAUGAUACUGCGAGACUAGAGUAAUGGAGGGGGAACCGGAAGUAUAGGUGUAGCAGUGAAAUGCGUAGAUAUCGGGAGGAACACUCGUGGCGAAGGCGGGUUCCUGGACAUUAACUGACGCUGAGGCACGAAGGCCAGGGGAGCGAAAGGGAUUAGAUACCCUUGUAGUC
RNAcentral lists this ribosomal RNA (446 nucleotides) under uncultured bacterium. RNAcentral describes it as "partial 16S ribosomal RNA". It matches the Rfam family "Bacterial small subunit ribosomal RNA", at positions 338 to 795 of the family's 1533-position model. The record is from RNAcentral.